This 478-nucleotide ribosomal RNA is filed under the name uncultured bacterium. RNAcentral describes it as "bacterial SSU rRNA". It matches the Rfam family "Bacterial small subunit ribosomal RNA", at positions 30 to 501 of the family's 1533-position model. The record is from RNAcentral.
AUUGAACGCUAGCGGCAUGCCUAACACAUGCAAGUCGAACGGCAGCGUGGGGAGCUUGCUCCCUGACGGCGAGUGGCGGACGGGUGAGUAACGCGUAGGAAUCUGCCUUGUAGUGGGGGACAACCCGGGGAAACUCGGGCUAAUACCGCAUAAUCUCUACGGAGCAAAGUGGGGGAUCUUUGGACCUCACGCUAUAAGAUGAGCCUGCGUCGGAUUAGCUUGUUGGUGGGGUAACGGCCUACCAAGGCGACGAUCCGUAGCUGGUCUGAGAGGACGAUCAGCCACACUGGGACUGAGACACGGCCCAGACUCCUACGGGAGGCAGCAGUGGGGAAUAUUGGACAAUGGGGGCAACCCUGAUCCAGCAAUGCCGCGUGUGUGAAGAAGGCCUUCGGGUUGUAAAGCACUUUCAGUGGGAAAGACUUAAGGUUAAUACCCUUGAGAGUUGACGUUACCUACAGAAGAAGCACUGGCUAAC